CCCCUUUUAAAAAUGGCUGGAUCCGCCUCUGAUGUUAGUAGCUAUCUGACAUUAUUUUAGCAACUUGUUUUCUACACUGCAAAAGAAUUUAAGUGUCAGACAAGAAUGGGAUAUAUAUACACCUGCUUAGUGUUAUAUUUUUCAAAAAUAUUUAUUUUGAUUCAGAUAAAAUAACUUACUUGAAAGUAGAUAACCAAACAAACUUUAGCUUACAUUUUAACUGCUAUUAUAACUACAUUUGGUUUAACGCAGCAAAUUUAAUUAUUUUUACAAGACCAUUAUUCAGUAUUGUAGCCUAUUUCACAGAUGAGUGUUACAGUUGAAUACCUCUCUCUAAAUAGAUAUGUUUGAAAGGCAAUUAAAAUUAAACGUGUUUCAAACCAUAAAAAAUCUCUUGAUUUAGUUUAAAAUCUUGUUUAUAUAAUUGUUGACGUUGAUUUUUAGAAUUAACGAUACGUAAAUAAGGAUAUAUAGGAUACAUAAACAAUUAUGUAAAUGUUGAAUUUUAUUGUUCAACCAAGUAUAUAUCCCCUUGAACUAUGACAUUAUGCAGGGUAUUUCCAACAAUAACAACAAUAUUGCGUUAUUCUCUAAACAAAAAUCAAAGGUACAGAGAAUGACACGCAAAAAAGAUAUAUUUGGGGUGUUUAACGACCUUGUCUACCCAUGAGGCUCUCGCACGGUGGGUAAACAAAAAAGAUGUACAAAUAAUACAUAGUAUUAAAGAGAUAUCAGGGAUGUUAGUACAUACACGUACAUAUCGAACCAGCUUAGAAAUAACCACUCCAUAAGAAGAAGGAGCCGAAAUUUAUUCGUUGAGGACUAACAGUUAUUGGAGAAAACCAAUGUAGCAACGGACUAAGUGUUUUGAAUGUCUGUUUCUGUCAUCAAGGAUGGACUGGAAGCGACUGUUCUAUUGAUAUCGACGAAUGUAGCAGAGCUGCCACAAGUCCUUGUGGUGAGAGAGGAACGUGUGUAAAUACACCAGGAAGUUUUCAUUGUGAUUGCAAAAAGUCAUACGUUGGAGUGAAAUGCGAACUAAAAUUACAUAGUUCCAAUAUUAGAAAACGGUUGGUUUUAGGAGGUAGUUUUGCAACACCUCCACCACCAACGUCAACUGUAAAACAAACGACAAAUUCACCCCCUCCUUUCACGACAAAAGCGCCACCUAUACCACAGGGCAUCAAAACGCCUCAACAAAUCACAGAACAGCAGGUGUCACAAGCAACGACAAUUACAAAGGCUCCACCACCAAUAGGAUAAAAUUAAGAACAGAAUGGACAUUCUUGUCCGGAUGAUGUUUUAAUUUUGAAUUUUUUACUUAAUAAAACAUUUGUAUAUGCAUUGUGUUUAGCAUAAUUUUUGCGUUUACAACAGUUCUUGAAAUGAAUAAAUUAUCAGAUAUAA
Long non-coding RNA from Mytilus californianus (California mussel), 1407 nucleotides. RefSeq lists it as uncharacterized. The transcript has 4 exons. The record is from RefSeq and is a predicted model, not a curated record. Lineage: Eukaryota; Metazoa; Mollusca; Bivalvia; Mytilida; Mytilidae.